This 153-nucleotide small nuclear RNA is filed under the name Solanum lycopersicum (tomato). RNAcentral's name for it is "U4 spliceosomal RNA". It matches the Rfam family "U4 spliceosomal RNA". From Rfam's summary of the family: U4 small nuclear RNA (U4 snRNA) is a component of the major U2-dependent spliceosome. The structure of U4 snRNA from yeast and human has been reported. RNAcentral also lists the same sequence under 1 other name. Lineage: Eukaryota; Viridiplantae; Streptophyta; Magnoliopsida; Solanales; Solanaceae. The record is from Rfam by way of RNAcentral.
AUCUUUGCGCUUGGGGCAAUGACGCAGCUAGUGAGGUUCUAACCGAGGCGCGUCUAUUGCUGGUUGAAAACUAUUUCCAAACCCCCUCUUUGGCCUUGGCUUCUGCUUUGGCCAUAGAGAAUUUUUGAAAAGGCUUCCCUUCUGGGUUAAGCC